Molecule: ribosomal RNA, 1395 nt
Filed under: Triticum aestivum (bread wheat)
Lineage: Eukaryota; Viridiplantae; Streptophyta; Magnoliopsida; Poales; Poaceae
Description: partial small subunit ribosomal RNA
Source: RNAcentral
AUGCUCCAGCUGGCGCGCGCUCUCGUCGCGCGCGGCGUCACGGCCACCGUUGCCGUGCCAGACUUCGUCCACCGCCGCAUGGGCAGCGUCGACGUCGUCGGUGGCGUGGCGCUCGCGUCGAUCCCAAGCGGCAUCCCGGACGACGAUGAAGAGCCACCGGGAUUCGCCAGCAUCGCGCACGCCAUGGAGCACCACAUGCCCGCGCACCUGGAGCAGAUGCUAGCGCGGCGGGAGGCUCCUGGCGCCAGGGGUGCCGUGUGCCUCAUCGUUGACGUCCUCGCGUCGUGGGCCGUCCCCGUGGCCUCCCGGUGCGGCGUGCCAGUCGUCGGGUUUUGGCCGGCGAUGCUGGCGACUUUCGGCGUCGUGGCUGCUAUCCCGGAGCUUCUUAGCAAGGGGUUCAUCUCCGAUUGCGGUAGUCCCAUCUCGACGGAAGGAGUCAACAAAGACGAAGCAAAAGCAGACCUCCAGAUCGCAAACAACCUCCGCGUGGUGCCCGAAGACUUGCAACUUGGCACCAAAGAGCUGCUGCCAUGGCUCGUCGGCUGCGCGGCAUCGCAGAGAUCAAGAUUCGCCUUCUGGCUCCAGAUCCUACAGCGCGCCAAGAGCUUCCGCUGCCUCCUGGUCAACUCCUUCCCGGGCGAAGCAGCCGACGAAGGCUCCGGCCACCACGGCACACCACGGGGCCUCCGAAUUCUCCAGGUCGGACCACUGCUAACCGACGGACUACUUGACAAUCCGCACGAGUUGCCAGCAGAGAACCCUAGCAUGUGGCAGGCAGAUGGAUCGUGCAUGGAUUGGCUUGACCAGCAACGUGCAGGAUCAGUGAUCUACGUGUCUUUCGGGAGCUGGGUCACGCCGAUCGGGCCGGUGAAGAUCAGCGAGCUGGCGCACGGCCUCGAGGCCACCGGGAGGCCGUUCCUGUGGGUUUUGAAGAGCGAUCCUUCGUGCCGAGCCGGCCUCCCCAGCGGUUACCUGGAGACGGUGGCCGGCCAUGGCAAGGUCGUCUCCUGGGCGCCUCAGGGAGGCGUUCUUGCGCACGAGGCCGUCGGGUGCUACCUCACCCACUGCGGAUGGAACUCCACUCUCGAGGCGAUACAGCACGGGGUCCGUCUCCUGUGCUACCCGGUCUCCGGUGACCAGUUCAUCAACUCUGCCUUCAUCGUCAAGAUGUGGGAAAUAGGGAUCAGGCUCCGGCGCACUGGCAGAGGCGACGUGAAAGAUUAUAUCGAUCGAAUCUUGGAAGGAGAAGAUGGAAGACGGUUGCAGGAGAAGAUGAAUGAGUUGAGGGAGAGGGUUGCGGUGGGUGAGGCAAGGUUUGUAGCCAAGAAGAACCUCAAGGCCUUUGUUGAUGGAAUUAAGAGAGAUGACCUUGCUCCAGGGCAUCUAGCCACAUAA